CGCACCCACCAGCCACCACCAGCACGGGAGGAGACCGAUCGACUCGGCCCGGCCGACGCCUCAGCUUCAGCUUCAGCUCUGCCUCUGCUUGCGUUGCGUUGCGUUGCGUUGCGUGUGGAGUGGCCGCCCGCAAGAUAGGUAGGAGACGUGUGUGUAUAUGAGAUCCCCAUCCAACGGCCGGCCUCCAAGCGCAGGGGGCGGAGCACCACCAGCAGCAGCAGCAGACGACGACGACUUCGCCUUCUACUGCUCGUUCCUCCAGGACGCCGCCCCGGCCUCAGCGACGUCGCCGCUCGCCCUCGCCCUCGACCUCGACCUAGACGACCCCAACCCCACCGCCGCCGGGAUGACCAACGGCCGGCGCCGGAGGCAGCGCGGGGCAGCAGACGAAUCCGGAGCCGCCGC
This 405-nucleotide long non-coding RNA is filed under the name Sorghum bicolor (sorghum). RNAcentral describes it as "long non-coding RNA (SBIC_LNC005446)". The record is from RNAcentral. Lineage: Eukaryota; Viridiplantae; Streptophyta; Magnoliopsida; Poales; Poaceae.